This 397-nucleotide ribosomal RNA is filed under the name uncultured bacterium. Its description in RNAcentral is "bacterial SSU rRNA". It matches the Rfam family "Bacterial small subunit ribosomal RNA", at positions 44 to 435 of the family's 1533-position model. The record is from RNAcentral.
AGACGCGGAUAUAGAGUUUGUCCCGAACGGUACAGGAAGUCCUUGCUUCUUUGCUGACCAGUGGCGGACGGGUGAGUAAUGUCUGGGAAACUGCCUGAUGGAGGGGGAUAACUACUGGAAACGGUAGCUAAUACCGCAUAACGUCGCAAGACCAAAGAGGGGGACCUUCGGGCCUCUUGCCAUCGGAUGUGCCCAGAUGGGAUUAGCUAGUAGGUGGGGUAACGGCUCACCUAGGCGACGAUCCCUAGCUGGUCUGAGAGGAUGACCAGCCACACUGGAACUGAGACACGGUCCAGACUCCUACGGGAGGCAGCAGUGGGGAAUAUUGCACAAUGGGCGCAAGCCUGAUGCAGCCAUGCCGCGUGUAUGAAGAAGGCCUUCGGGUUGUAAAGUACUU